AUACAGCGGCCCCCGUGCAGAAAAACGUGGAAAAGAAAGGCGGUAGGAAGGAGAUGCUUACUGUGGAAGUUGAGACGGAAAUCACCGAGAAGUACGAACAAGGCUGCCCAGUGCACUGAGGCCCGCCCAUCUUCAGUCACCAGAGAGUCACCUUGUGUGUGGACCCGUUCCUGUAACCCUUCGAGUACUGUGUAGUGACUGGCCAUUACCCCUGUAGCCUCAAGGUCAAGGAAAUGCCAGAUGGACUGAAUCAGCUUCACCAGCAGGAACUGGCAACGUGAAGUGACGGACAGAGAUGGGGUGACUCAAAGGACUUCUUGGAGCCUCUGCGUGAGGCCAUUCGACUGU
Molecule: long non-coding RNA, 348 nt
Filed under: Felis catus (domestic cat)
Lineage: Eukaryota; Metazoa; Chordata; Mammalia; Carnivora; Felidae
Description: lncRNA (ENSFCAG00000047641.1)
Source: RNAcentral